Long non-coding RNA from Chenopodium quinoa (quinoa), 435 nucleotides. RefSeq lists it as uncharacterized. The transcript is spliced from 3 exons. The record is from RefSeq and is a predicted model, not a curated record. NCBI's taxonomy places the organism in Eukaryota, Viridiplantae, Streptophyta, Magnoliopsida, Caryophyllales, Amaranthaceae.
GUUUGCAGUGUAAGUCAAUCAGCAGAUGAUGCUUCUACUGUAAAAUUGAUGGCGCCUGUCAUUUGAGACUUGAGAUGUGGAGAGUUUUUGCCACAAGAUGCAGACAUGAUUCCUAUUCUUACAGAUAAACCUCGGUGUAAUAUAUUGCCCUUGUCAUGAUCCGAGUCUUCGAUGAUAGCUUUUUUUGGCCGGAAGGGAUAUGCUCUUUGCUUAGCGCAGAGGUUCGGUUACGCACUCUAAUCUUUGGGUGGAGUCGGACGCGAUUAAUGUGAUUAAUGCAAUAUCUUCUCAUGACGAUGGUCUUUCUCCCAUACAUGUGGUCUAUUAGAUAUUGUUUUAGAUAGAGAGAGUUUUAAUGUCAGUUUAUUUUCACAUGCUAACAGGAAUUGUAACACCGUAACUCACCUCAUUGCUAGGGGUAACACAAGUGGAAAU